Molecule: small RNA, 1701 nt
Filed under: Pongo abelii (Sumatran orangutan)
Lineage: Eukaryota; Metazoa; Chordata; Mammalia; Primates; Hominidae
Description: processed transcript
Source: RNAcentral
GAGCAGGAAGGCUCGGGCCGGCGGCUGACUCCUGGAAGUCUGCUGACAGAGGCUCAACACGGCUCGGACGCCCUUGCCCCGGUUCCUAAGCCCCAAGGCGGGCAAGUGCCGGCUGAUCACCUCCACCUCACAGUGUAGCUUCAUCUCGCCCAGCGGCCACAACCAGGUCAGCUGGCUUUGAAACUUCCCCCUUCCCGCCACCCGGCGCCGCCACCGGGGUCCUCGCGCCCGCGGGCUGCCCACUGAUCCGCCUGCCUGUUGGAUUGGUCCGCGACUCGGGCUGUCUUACCACCGUGUCUGUAUGAAGCCCGCGGGAAACGGCUUCCCUUUUCCCUUAGCAGGGCCGGGUCCUCGCGGUGGCUGCGUACCGGGACUGACCACCUGAGAUCCGGGCUCGCGCCCCGGAAACCGGCAAUCGGCGGGGGCGCAACGUCUUUUCCCCCGAGCGCGCAGCUGGCAGCGGUGGUUGUUUUUGUUUGGGGAGGAUUCGGAGGGUUUCAGCUGUUGACGCUUUACGCGUUGCCGGCGCACGUCCGGCCGCUGUUUCCCGAAGGAAGGCAGGUGUGCCUCUGCGUUACAGGGAAAGGCACUUAGAACUGUCUGAGUGGCCUCGUAGGCCAGCGAGGGCGCAUUUCCCGGCGCGGACGGGCUGCUGGUGGUUUUGGUGGCUGCUCUCCAGAGGCACACCUGGCACGUCGGAGGGGGGCUUUAUAUGGUUGUAUUUGACUUGGCAAUUCCUGCUGAACAAAUAAUUUUCCAUGGCGGGUAGGAUGGAUGGAGUGUGACUGGCUUAACCGCACCUGAGACGUGGAAAGACCUUCCAGACCGCACAAGGCCUUCGUACUCUUGAUUUUGAUUGAUUGAACUAGGACGGGGCCCGGCUGUGGAGUGGGAAGCGCCUGGGGAGCAAAUGUUAAGGAGGUGCUUACUGUCGGGGUCGUAGUCUUGCCUCCUUAAAAUUUGUGCUCUAGGCGCCUCUCUCACCUUAACCUAAUCCUAGCCGUAUAUUAAACAUUUUAUUGUGUCUGAGUUAUACUUCCGUAAUGGUAAAAUGACGUUCAGAAAUACUGAUUUUUCAAUACAACUGUGACAAAAUGUGAUUUAUUCUCAAAUGAGCGUCCGUAUUUACAUGUUGAACCUGAAGUGUUGUCGGUUAAUUCCUCAUUCUUUAAAACGUAAUAGUUCCUGAAAAAAAGUGAUUAACAUAAAAUUAUGGCCGGGCGUGGUGGCUCACGCCUGUAAUCCCAGCACUUUGCCGGGCUGAGGCAGGCAGGUCGCUUGAGCCCAGGAGUUCAAGACCAGUUUGGGCAACAUGGCAAAACCCAGUCUCUACGAAAAAUACAAAAAAAUUAGCCGGGCGUGGUGGCGCGUGUCUGUAGUCCCAGCUAUUGGGGAGGCUGAGGUGGGAGGAUCACUUGAGCCUGGGGAGGUCGAGAGGCUGCGGUGAGCAGUAAUCGCGCACUGGCACUCCAGCCUGAGUGACCCCGUCUCAAAAAAAAAACAAAAAGAAAAAAAUUACUUUCCCUCCAUUUAGUAUUCUUAUAUGUACAUCUAGUAGAGCAUUAAAACGCUACUCAGCAUUUAAGCAAAACUUAACUUUAUGGCUAAAGAGAAAACGGACACUACAAUUUUCAGACUAUUAGACUUUAUAGGAGUUACCUGCUUUUGUUCUUUGAGAGGGUAAUAAUGUAGAAAAGAUAA